UGAGAGCCUCUUGCCCUCUCUGG
RNAcentral lists this non-coding RNA (23 nucleotides) under Rattus norvegicus (Norway rat). The record is from RNAcentral. Lineage: Eukaryota; Metazoa; Chordata; Mammalia; Rodentia; Muridae.